Molecule: RNA transcript, 1497 nt
Organism: Trachymyrmex cornetzi
Lineage: Eukaryota; Metazoa; Arthropoda; Insecta; Hymenoptera; Formicidae
Gene name: serine/threonine-protein kinase 16
Exons: 8
Source: RefSeq, a predicted model, not a curated record
CGUCACAAGUGAGGAUUAUCUGAGAAUCGUGAUCGAAUGUAAAUGGAAAGCAAUUGUUCUGUUCCAAUCGAAUCGUGCACAAUGCUACACUUUGUGUAUUCCUGUGUACGUUUGUGUUAAGCAAUUGGAAAGCAUCUAAUGUUACCUUAGAAAUGAAAAUAGCGAGAUAAUCUCGCGAGAUUCUUUUUGUUUUUAUUACAAUGACAAUAAACAACGAUGAAUAGCUUAGGUUUAAAUCUAAUUUUAAGAAUGGGUUGUAUAUGCACUAAAGAAAUCAUUACGAUAAACUCGAGGAAAUAUAAAGUUUGUGAACACCUCGGAGAUGGUGGAUUUAGCACAGUAUUUUUAGUUGAAGAUAUCGUCACACAUAAAAAGUAUGCUAUUAAGAAAAUUGUUUGUCAUGGACCAGAAGAUCAGCAAUUAGCAACAAAAGAGGUUGAAUAUUAUAAAUUGAUAAAACAUUCAAAUGUUAUAGAAUGUUUAGAUUCAACUUGCAAAGGUACUGCUGAUCCAAUCGUGAAUACAACAAGCGAAAUAUUAAUUGUUUUACCAUAUUAUCAUAAAGGAACAUUAGCUAAUGAUUUGGAACGACGAGCAAAGAAUUAUGAUUAUAUGAAUCCUAUAGAUAUCCUCAGCAUAUUUUUACAGAUAUGUGAAGGCGUAAAAGCAUUUCAUGAAGCUAAACCAGAACCUCUUGCUCAUAGAGAUUUAAAAACUGCAAAUAUAGUGCUUAACGAUGUUGGAAUACCUGUUAUUAUGGACUUGGGUUCUGUAGCAACUGCUAGAGUUAAAGUAUGCAGUACUCAAGCUGCGCGGACUUUACAGGACUUAGCAACUGAAAGAUGUUCCAUGCCAUAUAGAGCUCCAGAACUAUUUAAUGUUGAAAGUUAUUGUAUGGUUGACGAACGAACAGAUAUCUGGUCAUUGGGAUGUAUACUGUACGCAUUAUGUUAUUUUAAAUCUCCUUUUGAUACUGUUUACGAACGAGGCGACAGUGUAGCUCUUGCUGUGAUGAGUGCGCACGUAAAGUUUCCAGAAGAUACCCCGUAUAAUAAGGAUAUGCAAAAUUUAAUUUUGUUGAUGUUAAAAGUCAAUCCCAUGGAACGUCCGUAUAUAUAUAGCGUAAUAGAGAGUGUGCACGAUACUAUCGCCAAAUUGAAAGCAUAAUCGCAUAUUAUAUUAUGACGUAAGAUAUUGCGAUGACUAAACCACAUAUUUAGGAAAAUGGAAACAGCCUCGAGUUGUACACGCGAACAGUGCGCUUGUGACGCUUUUGUUUCAAUGUUUUACGGAAGACGCAAAAAGUUUCGGAGCGCGGUUCAUCAUCUAUAUUAAUGCGUGUGUAAUGAGCGGUAAUGGGAUAGCUGUCAAAGUCAUACAAAAUCAAAGUAUACGAGGUGAAAUCAAGAAAUAUAUAUCUUGUGUUGUUCAGACACUUAAGAUAUUAUAAUUAAAUAAGAUUUCAACUUCAAAAACUACCUCACAACAAUAAAUUCU